AUCCUGGCUCAGAUUGAACGCUGGCGGCAUGCUUUACACAUGCAAGUCGAACGGCAGCACGGGUGCUUGCACCUGGUGGCGAGUGGCGGACGGGUGAGUAAUACAUCGGAACGUAUCCAGAAGAGGGGGAUAACGCAAUCGAAAGAUGUGCUAAUACCGCAUAUUCUCUGAGGAGGAAAGCAGGGGAUCGCAAGACCUUGCGCUUUUGGAGCGGCUGAUGUCUGAUUAGCUAGUUGGUGGGGUAAAGGCCUACCAAGGCGACGAUCAGUAGUUGGUCUGAGAGGACGACCAGCAACACUGGGACUGAGACACGGCCCAGACUCCUACGGGAGGCAGCAGUGGGGAAUCUUAGACAAUGGGCGCAAGCCUGAUCUAGCCAUGCCGCGUGGACGAUGAAGGCCUUAGGGUUGUAAAGUCCUUUCAGAUGGGAAGAUAAUGACGGUACCAUCAGAAGAAGCCCCGGCUAACUCCGUG
This 474-nucleotide ribosomal RNA is filed under the name uncultured bacterium. RNAcentral describes it as "bacterial SSU rRNA". It matches the Rfam family "Bacterial small subunit ribosomal RNA", at positions 16 to 507 of the family's 1533-position model. The record is from RNAcentral.